GAUGAACGCUGGCGGCGUGCCUAAUACAUGCAAGUCGAGCGAACAGAUGCGUUGCUUUCUCCUCUGACGUUAUCGGCGGCCGGGUGAGUAACACGUGGAUAACCUCCCUCUCAGACUUUGAUAACUUCGGGAAACCGGAGCUAAUACCGGAUAAUAUAUUGAACCUCAUGGUUCAAUAGUGAAAGACGGUUUUGCUGUCACUUAUAGAUGGAUCCGCGCCGCAUUAGCUAGUUGGUAAGGUAACGGCGUACCAAGGCAACGAUGCGUAGCCGACCUGAGAGGGUGAUGGGCCACAAUAGAAGGGAGAAGAGGUGCAGAAGACUACGGGAGGCAGCAGUAGGGAAUCUUACGGAAUGGGCGGAAGAAUGAUGGAGCAACGACGCGUGAGGGAUGAAGGUCUUCGGAGCGUAGAAAUCUGUUAUUAGGGAAGAACAAAGGUGGAAGUAACUAUGCACGGCUUGACGGUACCUAAUCAGAAAGCCACGGCUAACUACGUG
Molecule: ribosomal RNA, 497 nt
Filed under: uncultured bacterium
Lineage: Bacteria
Description: partial 16S ribosomal RNA
Rfam family: Bacterial small subunit ribosomal RNA
Source: RNAcentral